CAUCUGCAGUGAUCAUGGAGCCCAAGAAAGUAAAAUUUGUCACUGCCUCCGUAUCUUCCCCUUCUAUUUGCCAGGAAGUGGCCAUGAUCUUAGCUUUUUUGAUGUUGAGCUUCAGACCAUUUUUGCACUCUCCUCUUUCACCCUCAUUAUGAGGUUCUUUAAUUCCUCCUCACUUUCUGCCAUCAGAGUGGUAUCAUCUGCAUAUCUGAGGUUGUUGAUGUUUCUUCCGGCAAUCUUAAUUCUGGCUUGGGAUUCCUCCAGUCCUGCCUUUCGCAUGAUGUAUUCUGCAUAUAAGUUAAAUAAACUGGGGGAUAGUAUACAGCCUUGUCGUACUCCUUUCCCAAUUCUGAGCCAAUCAGUUGCUCCAUAUCCAGUUCUAACUGUUGCUUCCUGUCCCACAUAUAGGUUUCUCAGGAGAGAGAGAGAUAAGAUGAUCAGGGACUCCCAUUUAUUUGUGUGUUUUAUACAGAGCCAACUGAUGAUAUCACUAAUACUGAAUAGUAUUACUGCUUCUACCUGCACAGUUUUCCAAAUUUUAGAAAAUUAUAACAUUUACAUUAUUGAAGUUGCACACUUUUCAGAAGCAGAGUUCUCAUGUAGCCCGUCCCCAAAAAACCCAUCUUGCAAUUUUAAUUUUAUUUAUGUUAUGUAUUUGACUUUUAUACAACCCAUAUGGCUACCAAUGACACACUGGGCAGUUUACAUGUUAAACAAAUAUAACAUCAAGCAACAAUUGAAAACAACAAACAUAAUAAUUAUAAAAUCAAAAUUAAACACGUAUAAACCAUCAAAUUUAACUGAAACUAAUUAAGAUGAUAUGGAGGCAAGAUGGCAGGACUGAUUAUGUAAACGUUAAAACCACCACUGUAUGUUAUGAAGUCCUGAAAGCCCUGUCUAAAGAAACAUGUUUUUAGCGAUCAUUUAAAAGUUCCCAGUGAGGGGUUUAGGCGUAUUUUGGGCAGGAGGUUAUUCAAGAGUUGGGGAGUGACUGCCAAGAAGGGCUGGUUUCUAGUCUUCUCUUUCCAGGCCUCUCUAGGAGUCGAUACUCUCAACCUCUCAGCCUGAAAAGAUCAUAGAGGACGGGCCGAUCUCAUUGGAAGGCUGUGUUCUGCCAGGCACGGAGAUCCCAAACCGUUUAGGGCUUUGUAUGUUAGCACCAUCACCUUGACGCUGGCACAGACACAAUUUCCUUUAGUCCUCUCAAGAUUCAAAAGAAAUACCAUCCUUAUUUUUGUGCAUUUAGAAGUAUAUCUCUCUCAUAGCAGAGGUAAGCAUCUGUGGCCCUGUCUGAUCUAAUGCAGUCCUUAACUCAAAAAGUAUUUGAAAUAUGGUUAGUUCAGGCCUCUGGGAGAACAAUCUGACCACUGCUCUGGAGCCUAUUGCAUUGGGGAGGAGUGCAAAACAGGCUACCCUGUCAACCUAUGAACUCACCCUGACAAUUAAUGUGGGAGCCUACCCUAAUAAUUAACGUGGCUUUCAUAAGAAAAAAUUGUUGCUGAAGUCAUAAGAAUAAAAGAACAUAAGAAGGACCUAUCUAGUCCA
RNAcentral lists this long non-coding RNA (1542 nucleotides) under Pogona vitticeps (central bearded dragon). RNAcentral describes it as "lncRNA (ENSPVIG00000003355.1)". Lineage: Eukaryota; Metazoa; Chordata; Lepidosauria; Squamata; Agamidae. The record is from RNAcentral.